Vicia faba (fava bean) is the source of this 228-nucleotide non-coding RNA. Lineage: Eukaryota; Viridiplantae; Streptophyta; Magnoliopsida; Fabales; Fabaceae. The record is from the annotation of a GenBank genome assembly.
AUGCCAUUACAACCUAGUUCAAAUGUUACAACACAUGUUCAUUACAAGAGAAGUGCAAUUACAAUCAUGGCCAUUACAAAACUACAUCAAGUUACACAAAGAAACGUAAAAGAUCCUAAACCUAUGCUAACUUGUUCUCGAUCUUCAAGCAUCACGCUACGAUUUUCUUUAAACUCAUGCUCGCUAUCUUCACAAAGCUAUGCCAAACAAGCAUCCAAUUCUCCAUGA